This 1019-nucleotide long non-coding RNA is filed under the name Calidris pugnax (ruff). Its description in RNAcentral is "lncRNA (ENSCPUG00000012070.1)". The record is from RNAcentral. Lineage: Eukaryota; Metazoa; Chordata; Aves; Charadriiformes; Scolopacidae.
ACUCACACACUCAGAUGAAUGAGCAAGGAAGGGGGAGACCUCAACAGCCCCUUUAGACGUGGGGCUGAAUUGAUGGGAUUGUGAUUUGUAGGAUUUCUCCACUUAGUCCCUGCCUCCUACUUGCUCUCCAGCCACUCCAAAGUCUCUUCCCCUCUCUUUAAGCAGCGAUUUCUUUCAAUCUCUCUCUCUCCCUCCCUGUGUCUCUCUCCCUCACACUCUCCCUCUCUCUCCACAUACACUCAUCUCCCCGGAGAGAGAGAGAGAGGAGAAACUCAACUCCCAAACACCGACCAGAUGUCGAAGAAACGCAAAGCCCUGGAGGGUGGCGGAGCCCGGCUCCCCCCCGAGGACCCCAGAGCCUGCUUUGGGGCCGGCGAGGAGCAAGGGUAAAAGUUCAGGGCCAGUACAGAGUCUAUAUGGAAAAACAGAGCCUUCGCAUCAGAUUUACCGUAUGGGCUGCCUAAAGUAACUAUUUUGAAGUCAUCUUUGGAACGCUAGAGCCUGAUAUGCUCAUCCUGGUUUCUGUCACCUUCUCCAAAGGAAGGGAAGGACAAACAGGGAAGUUUUGCCCACCUGCUCCCUGCCAGGUGGGCUGAUGGAGUCUGGUGAUGGUGUGAGCUAGCCUAGUCUCUCAGAUGACUACAUGGCAUCCUGAAAAUGGAUCCCUAGAUGUGAACACUUGACAGGACUGUAAAUGUGACUGUAGAGUGAAGGCAUCCAAGUAAGUUUUCGAGCGACAGAUACAGGUUGCUGUGGCCUCUUAGCCAAGAAAAGAAGUAAGGCUGGGUUCUGUGUUUCACUGUUCUGAGUUGAAUGCCUAAGUUACUUUCUCAAUACAUAAGUGCAUUUAAAAAGUUCCAGGGUUCUUCAGAAGCUUUGUAAUUUCAAACUGUUGUGUAUAAACACAAAGGCAUUUAUUAAGUGUAUCUAUAAAAGGUAAAAACCCUAUUGAAGGAGAACCAAAGAAAUUGCAAGCCAGAAUUAAUAAAUCAUAUGAAUGUUGACCUCUGUACGUGUUA